Molecule: non-coding RNA, 72 nt
Organism: Bos taurus (domestic cattle)
Lineage: Eukaryota; Metazoa; Chordata; Mammalia; Artiodactyla; Bovidae
Source: Rfam
ACCCUGAUGGCUCAGUUGGUAAAGAAUCUGCCUGCAAUGCAGGUGACCCCGGUUUGAUUCCUGGUCAGGAAG